RNAcentral lists this ribosomal RNA (294 nucleotides) under uncultured bacterium. RNAcentral describes it as "partial 16S ribosomal RNA". It matches the Rfam family "Bacterial small subunit ribosomal RNA", at positions 337 to 623 of the family's 1533-position model. The record is from RNAcentral.
ACCUACGGGGGGCAGCAGUAGGGAAUCUUCGGCAAUGGGCGAAAGCCUGACCGAGCAACGCCGCGUGAAUAAAGAAGGCCUUCGGGUUGUAAAAUUCUGUUCUAAGGGAAGAAAGGUGAUAGGAGGAAAUGACUAUCAAUUGACGGUACCUUAUGAGAAAGCCACGGCUAACUACGUGCCAGCAGCCGCGGUAAUACGUAGGGAGCGAGCGUUGUCCGGAAUUACUGGGUGUAAAGGGAGUGUAGGCGGGAUGGUAAGUUAGGUGUGAAAUGCGGAGGCUCAACCUCCGAGCUG